UUCAAUAUUGUAUCUGAGUGCUUUCUUUACUCACUUUUAGAAAUAAUAAUAAAUAUUCAAAUCAUCUUACGUUACACCCAACAGCCGCUGCUAAAUAUACUUAAACAAUUAAGAUUCUCAUUGUUAAGCAUCCAAUCUCACGAACGUAACUUUCCACAAUGGCUGUCAGAUCUUGGUAAAAAAAAAAAAAAAUGUUUUCUAAGACAAUAUUUGGGGGUUUCUGGUAUUGUAAGCCAC
Molecule: non-coding RNA, 237 nt
Organism: Pelobates cultripes (western spadefoot toad)
Lineage: Eukaryota; Metazoa; Chordata; Amphibia; Anura; Pelobatidae
Source: the annotation of a GenBank genome assembly